UGGGGAAUAUUGCACAAUGGGCGAAAGCCUGAUGCAGCAACGCCGCGUGAGUGAUGAAGGUUUCGAUUGGUAAAGCUCUGUCUUUUGGGACGAUAAUGACGGUACCAAAGGAGGAAGCCACGGCUAACUACGUGCCAGCAGCCGCGGUAAUACGUAGGUGGCGAGCGUUGUCCGGAUUUACUGGGCGUAAAGGGUGCGUAGGCGGAUGUUUAAGUGAGAUGUGAAAUACCCGGGCUUAACUUGGGUGCUGCAUUUCAAACUGGAUAUCUAGAGUGCAGGAGAGGAGAAUGGAAUUCCUAGUGUAGCGGUGAAAUGCGUAGAGAUUAGGAAGAACACCAGUGGCGAAGGCGAUUCUCUGGACUGUAACUGACGCUAGAGCNAGAAGCGUGGGUAGCAAACAGGAUUAGAUA
RNAcentral lists this ribosomal RNA (410 nucleotides) under uncultured bacterium. RNAcentral describes it as "partial 16S ribosomal RNA". It matches the Rfam family "Bacterial small subunit ribosomal RNA", at positions 355 to 784 of the family's 1533-position model. The record is from RNAcentral.